This 1149-nucleotide ribosomal RNA is filed under the name Enterobacter cloacae. RNAcentral's name for it is "bacterial SSU rRNA". It matches the Rfam family "Bacterial small subunit ribosomal RNA", at positions 355 to 1499 of the family's 1533-position model. The record is from RNAcentral. Lineage: Bacteria; Pseudomonadati; Pseudomonadota; Gammaproteobacteria; Enterobacterales; Enterobacteriaceae.
UUUUGGAUUUUUCCAAAGGGGGCAAACCCGGCCGCCCCCUGCCGAAGGAAGAAGAAGGCCUUCGGAUUUUUAAUUACUUUUAGCGGGGAGGAAGGUGUUGUGCUAAUACCCCCCGCAUUGACGUUACCCACAGAAGAAGCCCUGUUUACUCCGUGCCAGCAGCCGCCGUUAUACGGAGGGUGCUAGCGUUAAUCCGAAUUACUGGGCGUAAAGCGCACGCUGGCGGUAUGUCAAGUUGGAAGUGAAAUCCCCGGGCUCAACCUGGGAAUUUCAUUUGAAACUGGCAGGCUAGAGUCUUGUAGAGGGGGGUAGAAUUCCAGGUGUAGCGGUGAAAUGCGUAGAGAUCUGGAGGAAUACCGGUGGCGAAGGCGGUCUCCUGGACAAAGACUGACGCUCAGGUGCGAAAGCGUGGGGAGCAAACAGGAUUAGAUACCCUGGUAGUCCACGCAGUAAACGAUGUUGAUUAGGAGGUUGUGCCCUUGAGGCGUGGCUUCUGGAGCUAACGCGUUAAAUCGUCCGCCUGGGGAGUACGGCCGCAAGGUUAAAACUCAAAUGAAUUGACGGGGGCCCGCACAAGCGGUGGAGCAUGUGGUUUAAUUCGAUGCAACGCGAAGAACCUUACCUGGUCUUGACAUCCACAGAACUUUCCAGAGAUGGAUUGGUGCCUUCGGGAACUGUGAGACAGGUGCUGCAUGGCUGUCGUCAGCUCGUGUUGUGAAAUGUUGGGUUAAGUCCCGCAACGAGCGCAACCCUUAUCCUUUGUUGCCAGCGGUUAGGCCGGGAACUCAAAGGAGACUGCCAGUGAUAAACUGGAGGAAGGUGGGGAUGACGUCAAGUCAUCAUGGCCCUUACGACCAGGGCUACACACGUGCUACAAUGGCGCAUACAAAGAGAAGCGACCUCGCGAGAGCAAGCGGACUUCAUAAAGUGCGUCGUAGUCCGGAUUGGAGUCUGCAACUCGACUCCAUGAAGUCGGAAUCGCUAGUAAUCGUAGAUCAGAAUGCUACGGUGAAUACGUUCCCGGGCCUUGUACACACCGCCCGUCACACCAUGGGAGUGGGUUGCAAAAGAAGUAGGUAGCUUAACCUUCGGGAGCGCACGCCUACCACUUUGUGAUUACAUGACUGGGGUGAAGUCGUAACAAGUAAG